RNAcentral lists this ribosomal RNA (430 nucleotides) under uncultured bacterium. Its description in RNAcentral is "partial 16S ribosomal RNA". It matches the Rfam family "Bacterial small subunit ribosomal RNA", at positions 29 to 507 of the family's 1533-position model. The record is from RNAcentral.
AACGAACGCUGGCGGCAGGCUUAACACAUGCAAGUCGAGCGCCCCGCAAGGGGAGCGGCAGACGGGUGAGUAACGCGUGGGAACGUACCUUUUGGUUCGGAACAACUCCGGGAAACUGGAGCUAAUACCGGAUAAGCCCUAACGGGGAAAGAUUUAUCGCCGAAAGAUCGGCCCGCGUCUGAUUAGCUAGUUGGUGAGGUAACGGCUCACCAAGGCGACGAUCAGUAGCUGGUCUGAGAGGAUGAUCAGCCACACUGGGACUGAGACACGGCCCAGACUCCUACGGGAGGCAGCAGUGGGGAAUAUUGGACAAUGGGCGCAAGCCUGAUCCAGCCAUGCCGCGUGAGUGAUGAAGGCCUUAGGGUUGUAAAGCUCUUUUGUCCGGGAAGAUAAUGACUGUACCGGAAGAAUAGCCCCGGCUAACUUCGUG